Molecule: small nuclear RNA, 107 nt
Filed under: Propithecus coquereli (Coquerel's sifaka)
Lineage: Eukaryota; Metazoa; Chordata; Mammalia; Primates; Indriidae
Source: RNAcentral
GUGUUUUCUCCGGCAGCACAUGUCCUAAAAUUGAAACAAUACGGAGCAGAUUGGCAUGGCUCAUGUGAAAAUAUGAUGUGCACAUUCUUGAAAAGCUCCAUAUUUUG